UUUUUGGCUUUGCCUUCCCAGCUGUUCCAUGCCAGGAGGAGGAGUUACAUGCUGGAAGCUUGCAGAUGGCCUGGGGCUGCCGCUUGCCUCGCUGCAGUUGGUGGCAGCUACAGAGACUGCAGCGCACCAGAGCAGUAGGAGGACAGCCAGCUGCGGCCAUGGCAGGGGCAGGAUUGUGGCAGUGGCCAGGUAGUAGGAGCUUUGUAGGGUGAGCCAGUGCAUUGAGGGCAACAGCAGCGAUGGUUGUGUUGACAUCUGUGCUACUGGUGACAGCAGCAGCAAGUCCAGGGGCCAGGAAGAGGGAGUAGGAGUGCUGUGGGGCCUGCCCGGCCAGGCCUAGCGAAGGUAGGAAGCUUCUGGUGCUGUACCACAGGCCUCAGUGGAAGUGGUGGAGGAACAGCCAGGGCGAGGAGGAGUUCUCCCCCUUCUUCUGCAGUCUCUGGAGGGUGACCUCCUCCUGCUGGCACAUGAGCCAGAUCCUGAAUUCCAGCUCAAUAGCUGACAUCAACCAGUUUGAAACCUCCCUUCCCCCGAAGAGGAACAAAAUCAGCAUGAAAAUACUGUUUCUUCAUCUCCUGUCCCUUGACUUCACUUGCACUCUUUCACCAAUCAAUCAUCUCCACACUUCAACCCAUUCCAAAACCCCUAAAAUCCCCAGCCCCCAACUACUCAGGGAGAAGAAUUUGAGGAUUCGUUCUGUAUCCUUGAUUGGUGGCCGUAUGAUUAAAUCUUUCUUUGCUACAA
This is a long non-coding RNA of Symphalangus syndactylus (siamang), 744 nucleotides long. RefSeq lists it as uncharacterized. The record is from RefSeq and is a predicted model, not a curated record. NCBI's taxonomy places the organism in Eukaryota, Metazoa, Chordata, Mammalia, Primates, Hylobatidae.